RNAcentral lists this ribosomal RNA (462 nucleotides) under uncultured bacterium. RNAcentral's name for it is "partial 16S ribosomal RNA". It matches the Rfam family "Bacterial small subunit ribosomal RNA", at positions 28 to 507 of the family's 1533-position model. The record is from RNAcentral.
GACGAACGCUGGCGGCGUGCUUAACACAUGCAAGUCGAGCGGAAAGGCCCUUCGGGGUACUCGAACGGCGAACGGGUGAGUAACACGUGAGUAACCUGCCCCAGACUUUGGGAUAACCCUCGGAAACGGGGGCUAAUACCGGAUACGACACAGCUUCGCAUGGGGUCUGUGUGGAAAGUUUUUCGGUUUGGGAUGGGCUCGCGGCCUAUCAGCUUGUUGGUGGGGUGAUGGCCUACCAAGGCGACGACGGGUAGCCGGCCUGAGAGGGCGACCGGCCACACUGGGACUGAGACACGGCCCAGACUCCUACGGGAGGCAGCAGUGGGGAAUAUUGCACAAUGGGCGGAAGCCUGAUGCAGCGACGCCGCGUGAGGGAUGACGGCCUUCGGGUUGUAAACCUCUUUCAGCAGGGACGAAGCGUAAGUGACGGUACCUGCAGAAGAAGCGCCGGCCAACUACGUG